Molecule: transfer RNA, 87 nt
Filed under: Acidobacteriota bacterium
Lineage: Bacteria; Pseudomonadati; Acidobacteriota
Also listed under: 3 other names
Description: tRNA-Leu
Rfam family: tRNA
About the family: Transfer RNA (tRNA) molecules are approximately 80 nucleotides in length. Their secondary structure includes four short double-helical elements and three loops (D, anti-codon, and T loops).
Source: RNAcentral
GCGAACGUGGCGGAAUUGGCAGACGCACUGGAUUUAGGUUCCAGCGCCCGCAAGGGCAUGGGAGUUCGACCCUCCCCGUUCGCACCA